UGCCAGCCGCCGCGGUAAUACGUAGGGGGCAAGCGUCGUCCGGAUUUACUGGGCGUAAAGGGUGCGUAGGCGGCGUGAUUAGUCACUUGUGAAAUCUCCGGGCUUAACUCGGAACGGCCAAGUGAUACUAUCGCGCUAGAGUGCAGGAAGGGCAACUGGAAUUCUUGGUGUAGCGGUGAAAUGCGUAGAUAUCAAGAGGAACACCUGAGGCGAAGGCGGCUUUCUGGACCGAUACUGACGCUGAGACGCGAAAGUGUGGGGAGCAAACAGGAUUAGAUA
RNAcentral lists this ribosomal RNA (279 nucleotides) under uncultured bacterium. Its description in RNAcentral is "partial 16S ribosomal RNA". It matches the Rfam family "Bacterial small subunit ribosomal RNA", at positions 506 to 784 of the family's 1533-position model. The record is from RNAcentral.